Arabidopsis thaliana (thale cress) is the source of this 489-nucleotide long non-coding RNA. RefSeq annotates it as other RNA. The transcript has a single exon. Lineage: Eukaryota; Viridiplantae; Streptophyta; Magnoliopsida; Brassicales; Brassicaceae. The record is from RefSeq.
CGAACCUUGGUUUUAGCUUCAUAUAAUAUGUUGUGGUAUGACUUUCUUUGCUUGAAAGACUUUGGUCUAAUGCUGUUGAACCUUCAUGCGAGAGUUUUUAUGGUGGCUUGGGAAGCUUGUCAAAGGACCACCCCUCAUCAUGCUCGCUUAACGUCUUCAAGUCAUACACCUCACUUCAUGUUUGCUAUUGUUUGCCUAACCUCAACUUUCAUUCGGCAUCAAUUCUAGCAAAUAAAUCCAAGCACCAGAGCACCAUCACCACUACCCAAACCUUUGUCAAAGCUCUACUUCAUGUAGCUCUCCUCGUGCCGGCGAGAAUCAUGUCUUUGACCCCUUCAUUAACGCCACUUCGUCUUUUGACAGAGACAAUUUGUUUUUCCUUUGAAUCGCUCUUGAAAGAGUCGUCGAUAAACUUUGAUCUCACAAGUACCAUAAGCAUCUUUGCUUUUGGCUCAAAACUCUCAAGGACCCUUUGUCGAUUAGCCCUAU